UUUAUGGAGUUAAAGCAUUGGUAUAGGCACAACUAAGGCGUUGGGAGGCACAGAUAUAACGAAGUGUUCAGGUUUGGCUUUGUUUGUGGAGUUGAAGAGUCGAUAUUGGCAAAUUUGGAACAUUGGUAGAUUGGGAUAUAGUUAAGUGUGCGUGUUAUUGGCAAAUGUAGAACAUAUGAAGAUAAGGUUAUAGUGCACUGUGCAGGCACUCCACCAUGCACUCUUGAUGUAGAGUACUCCUACCCUUUGGAUUAUGCCCAGCAAGUGCACUAUCCCAAUUCCCUAUUCUCAAUAUGUUGGUUCAAUAUAUUUUAGGACCCCAAGAAAGUUCCAUGCGAUUUGUGUUUGUGCAGAGGGAUCAGGACUUCAUGGAAGUGUCAGUCUCAACAUGCUCUGGAAAGUGGAGAAACAAUGCAACAGGUUGCCAGUAUUGUCCUGCAGUCAAGACAUGGUCACAAUAUCCCACUGCUUAUAAAUGAUCUAAAAAGCCAUUGGAAGUCAUUUUAAUAGUAAAACCCCUGAGGCCUGCUGCUUAAGGACUAAUGCUAUAUUGACUAGUGUGUGGCUAGUGUGUGGAUCAUAUUAAUUAACGGUUGCCUAUGUCAGCUUACCAGUAACUUACUUCCAUAAUGUUAAAACAUUUCAUGUGAUUGUGUUUUGUGAAAUACAACAUUUGUCAUGUCACUUAAAGUAUAGAAUUGCA
This is a long non-coding RNA of Ruditapes philippinarum (Manila clam), 703 nucleotides long. RefSeq lists it as uncharacterized. The record is from RefSeq and is a predicted model, not a curated record. NCBI's taxonomy places the organism in Eukaryota, Metazoa, Mollusca, Bivalvia, Venerida, Veneridae. The transcript is spliced from 4 exons.